UACGUAGGGGGCAAGCGUUGUCCGGAAUCAUUGGGCGUAAAGAGCGCGUAGGCGGUCCGGUAAGUCCGCUCUGAAAGUCCGGGGCUCAACCCCGGGAGGCGGGCGGAUACUGUCGGGCUAGAGUCCGGAAGAGGCGAGUGGAAUUCCUGGUGUAGCGGUGAAAUGCGCAGAUAUCAGGAGGAGCACCAAUGGCGAAGGCAGCUCGCUGGGACGGUACUGACGCUGAGGCGCGAAAGCGUGGGGAGCAAACAGG
This 253-nucleotide ribosomal RNA is filed under the name uncultured bacterium. Its description in RNAcentral is "partial 16S ribosomal RNA". It matches the Rfam family "Bacterial small subunit ribosomal RNA", at positions 524 to 776 of the family's 1533-position model. The record is from RNAcentral.